UACGUAGGGGGCAAGCGCUGUCCGGAUUUAUUGGGCGUAAAAGGCUUGUAGGUGGCCACGCCAAGUCGGAUGUGAAAUCUCCCGGCUCAACUGGGAGGGGUCAUUCGAUACUGGCGGGCUCGAGGCCGGUAGGGGGAAGCGGAAUUCCCGGUGUAGUGGUGGAAUGCGUAGAUAUCGGGAGGAACACCAGUGGCGAAGGCGGCUUCCUGGACCGGUUCUGACACUGAGGCGCGAAAGCGUGGGGAGCGAACAGG
RNAcentral lists this ribosomal RNA (254 nucleotides) under uncultured bacterium. Its description in RNAcentral is "partial 16S ribosomal RNA". It matches the Rfam family "Bacterial small subunit ribosomal RNA", at positions 524 to 776 of the family's 1533-position model. The record is from RNAcentral.